This 253-nucleotide ribosomal RNA is filed under the name uncultured bacterium. RNAcentral describes it as "partial 16S ribosomal RNA". It matches the Rfam family "Bacterial small subunit ribosomal RNA", at positions 524 to 776 of the family's 1533-position model. The record is from RNAcentral.
UACGUAGGGUGCAAGCGUUGUCCGGAAUUAUUGGGCGUAAAGAGCUCGUAGGUGGUCUGUUGCGUCGGCUGUGAAAAUCCGGGGCUCAACCCCGGACUUGCAGUGGGUACGGGCAGACUAGAGUGUGGUAGGGGAGACUGGAAUUCCUGGUGUAGCGGUGAAAUGCGCAGAUAUCAGGAGGAACACCGAUGGCGAAGGCAGGUCUCUGGGCCACUACUGACGCUGAGAAGCGAAAGCAUGGGGAGCGAACAGG